Molecule: ribosomal RNA, 782 nt
Filed under: Clavaria amoenoides
Lineage: Eukaryota; Fungi; Basidiomycota; Agaricomycetes; Agaricales; Clavariaceae
Description: eukaryotic LSU rRNA
Rfam family: Eukaryotic large subunit ribosomal RNA
Source: RNAcentral
CUGCGAGUGAAGAGGGAAGAGCUCAAAUUUUAAAUCUGAAAGUGUUCCACUUUCCGAGUUGUAAAUUCAAGAAGUGUUAUCCGUGUCUGGACCAUGCACAAGUCUCUUGGAAAAGAGCAUCAUAGAGGGUGACAAUCCCGUCUCUGGCAGUGGACUCCCAGCACUCUGUGAUACACUCUCAAUGAGUCGAGUUGUUUGGGAAUGCAGCUCUAAAUGGGUGGUAAAUUCCAUCUAAAGCUAAAUAUUGGCGAGAGACCGAUAGCGAACAAGUACCGUGAGGGAAAGAUGAAAAGAACUUUGAAAAGAGAGUUAAACAGUAUGUGAAAUUGUUGAAAGGGAAACGCUUGAAGUCAGUCAUGUUCUGCAGAAAUCAACCUCACCAAUUCUGGUGUGGUGCACUUUCUGCUGGACAGGCCAGCAUCAAUCUUGACUGCUGGAAAAAGGCAAUGGAAAUGUAGUGCCUCUUGGCAUGUUAUAGUCCUUGACUGUAUACAGUAGUUGGGAUUGAGGAACUCAGUGAUAUGAUGCUGGCGUAAUGGCUUUAAUCGACCCGUCUUGAAACACGGACCAAGGAGUCUAACAUGCAUGCAAGUGUUUGAGUGGAAAACUCAAGCGCGCAAUGAAAGUGAAAGUUGAGAUCUAUGAAAAUAGUGCACCAACGCCCGGUCCAGAGCUUCUGUGAUGGAUCUGCGGUAGAGCAUGUAUGUUGGGACCCGAAAGAUGGUGAACUAUGCCUGAAUAGGGUGAAGCCAGAGGAAACUCUGGUGGAAGCUCGUAGCGAU